GCAACAGCAUCGAUGAACUCUUCAGUGUUCAGGUAAUGACUCCUCGUGACACUGUAAGUGCAGGAUAAUACAGAGCAAGGUCCUUGGUCAUCUUCCCAGACUCGACAGCGCCAAUGCAGGCAGCUUCAAGCUUCUGAGUGAAGUCCAGUAGCCUAGCAUUGUCAUCUAGCUUUGCCCUAUAUCACACAACAAUCCUCUUGUCCAGGCAAAGAUUGAGGCAAUGCUGUUUGUGCUAGUUUCACCACCUUUCUGAUGAACACGGUAAUGACGGGUGACAGUCCCAUGGGCAGCUUCAGCUUCAAUGGUUUUCCCAUCAGGACAUACCUAGAACAUGAGUGCAUGAACCAAAAUUGGGUAUAUAACCUUGUGCUAAGAAAUCACUCUGCACAUCUCCAUCAUAGUUCUUGCAAGCCCAAACAUAGCCUCCUUCACUCUUGAGUGCAUAGGCAACCAUGUCAUCAAUGAGACGAUGCUCAUACCUGACAGAGACCAAACCUCAAAUUUUGAUUUCCACUGAGCUUCAUAUACCUCCUGGAAGAUGUCCUUGAACCUGCCAUCAUAUUUCUUCAAAAUUGUGUUUUUGGUGCUGAGGUACAAUGGCCAUUUCUUCUCAUAAGCAGUGGCCAUAGAGGCCUCAGCAAAGGAACGGAUGGACUACAAAAUCAAACGCUAAGAGCAUGAAUCACAAAAAAAAAAUGACAUACGCAUGCUUGAAACGAACAAUAGAAAGUGGCAAGCUGUAGCGUACCAUAAACCAAUUUAAGCUUGCCAGGUCCCUUGAUAACUGCAUCCGUUGCACGGUACUGAUCACCAAAUGCGUGCCUUCCAAUGCAAAUGGGCUUAGUCCAUCCUGAAAACACAACCAUUUCAUUUCAGUAAAUGGAAUUACAGCAGCACCUUACCAUUUAGGAUAUUUCUAAUUGUGCCGUUUGGGCUCUUCCACAUGGAUUUUAGGCUGAACUCUUUAACCCUUGCUUCAUCUGUCAUAGUUUUGAUACAAUACUCACAUAAAGUUCUUACUUGAGGGUAGCCUCUGCUGCCUCCACUGUGACUUUAUCGUCGGUUUGAUCACGGUAUGGAAGUCCGAGAUCAAAGUACUUAAUGUCCAACUCCAAGAACGGGAAGAUAAGCUGCAUAUUUAGGAGGGGAAAAUGGGAGAGGGAUCAGACUGACCGUCCAUCUCGACAAUGGGGUUGGCGACCUUGAUCUUGGUGGAUGCCAUGGCCGCGACAGGCGGGCGGCGGCGGAGAUCGCGAUGGCGGCGAGGAGGAG
This 1272-nucleotide small RNA is filed under the name Oryza sativa Japonica Group (Japanese rice). RNAcentral describes it as "sRNA Os05g0573250". The record is from RNAcentral. Lineage: Eukaryota; Viridiplantae; Streptophyta; Magnoliopsida; Poales; Poaceae.